Long non-coding RNA from Micropterus dolomieu (smallmouth bass), 739 nucleotides. RefSeq lists it as uncharacterized. The transcript is spliced from 3 exons. The record is from RefSeq and is a predicted model, not a curated record. Lineage: Eukaryota; Metazoa; Chordata; Actinopteri; Centrarchiformes; Centrarchidae.
GAAGUUUGCAGUGGUGCGGUGGAGUGAAGGGGAGGAUUUUGGGAAGCUCAGUGACAUAAAAACCGAUGCCAUAAGGGGGUAUGAUGAUUCCAAGGUGGACCAGGAUGGGAAUCCCUUUGCAACCUACUCAGUCGUUAUUGAAUGGCGCCAUGGGAGGAAGCAACGAGGAGGCUGGCCUCACUACAGAGGCACUGUCAUUUUUGUUAGUGCUGCUCGUUUUGAGACAAUACGUAAACUGAACUCACUGCUGAAGGAAGAAGACAAAGAGGGCCUCAGUGGCCCCUCCAAAAUAUGGGGAUGAUUCAGAUUGCUCAACUGAUCUUAAGACUGAUUCUCAGCAAGUAAAGAAGUCAAAGGCUCCCAGGAGGGCAGACCCCGCUGAACAGUUUCUUAGGCAAUACGUUCAAUCACAGCCUCUGAAAGCAGAGAACGCAAAGUUGAAGGAGAUUGUUCUUCAAGGUAUCAUUGAUUCAUAUCAAACAUUGAACCAUGAGACAAGUAAUAAACUUUUCUCUAAAUUACUGUAGGCUGGAUGGGCUGUAUUGUAAGUGAAAUGGAAAUAUGUCGUUUAGUGAGUCUUCUGAAAUAAAGAGUCCAAUCCAGACGUCUUUUAAGGGUUUUAUUCUUUGCAAAGGGUCAGACAAACAUACAGAGUGCAAACAGUCUGCAGAGUGUAAGACAAAGAGCCAGUGAAGAAACAGGUGACUUUAUACUGUAAGGGUAUUACGCAGCUAUCCAA